GCUAGGGUCGUCUAACUGGUUAAGACCCCACACUUAUAAUGUGGUCGCUCUAGAUUUGGGCAAAAUGCAGGUUCGAAUCCUGCCCCUAGUA
RNAcentral lists this transfer RNA (91 nucleotides) under Caulobacteraceae bacterium. RNAcentral's name for it is "tRNA-Ile". It matches the Rfam family "tRNA". Rfam says of the family: Transfer RNA (tRNA) molecules are approximately 80 nucleotides in length. Their secondary structure includes four short double-helical elements and three loops (D, anti-codon, and T loops). The record is from RNAcentral. Lineage: Bacteria; Pseudomonadati; Pseudomonadota; Alphaproteobacteria; Caulobacterales; Caulobacteraceae.